RNAcentral lists this ribosomal RNA (497 nucleotides) under uncultured bacterium. RNAcentral's name for it is "partial 16S ribosomal RNA". It matches the Rfam family "Bacterial small subunit ribosomal RNA", at positions 28 to 507 of the family's 1533-position model. The record is from RNAcentral.
GAUGAACGCUGGCGGCGUGCCUAAUACAUGCAAGUCGAGCGAACAGAUGAGGAGCUUGCUCCUCUGACGUUAGCGGCGGACGGGUGAGUAACACGUGGAUAACCUACCUAUAAGACUGGGAUAACGUCGGGAAACCGGAGCUAAUACCGGAUAAUAUAUUGAACCGCAUGGUUCAAUAGUGAAAGACGGUUUUGCUGUCACUUAUAGAUGGAUCCGUGCCGCAUUAGCUAGUUGGUAAGGUAACGGCUUACCAAGGCAACGAUGCGUAGCCGACCUGAGAGGAUGAUCGGCCACACUGGAACUGAGACACGGUCCAGACUCCUACGGGAGGCAGCAGUAGGGAAUCUUCCGCAAUGGGCGAAAGCCUGACGGAGCAACGCCGCGUGAGGGAUGAAGGUCUUCGGAUCGUAAAACUCUGUUAUUAGGGAAGAACAAAUGUGUAAGUAACUAUGCACGUCUUGACGGUACCUAAUCAGAAAGCCACGGCUAACUACGUG